AUAUCCAUAGAGAUGAGGUUCGGGCUCUGCUGCAACGACUUCUAAGGGGGAAAACUAGUGGUGGAGAUACUAACACAAACGUGGUGGAUAUGAAAGCGGUUUUCUUUGAGAUGACACUGAAUAUCAUGAUGAUGAUGAUCGCUGGGAAAAGAUACUAUGGUGAUUCUGCUGGGAAAUUGGAGGAAUCUAGGAGGUUUAAAGAGAUUGUUAUCGAAUCUUUCCAAGUGAG
RNAcentral lists this unclassified non-coding RNA (229 nucleotides) under Hevea brasiliensis (rubber tree). The record is from RNAcentral. Lineage: Eukaryota; Viridiplantae; Streptophyta; Magnoliopsida; Malpighiales; Euphorbiaceae.